RNAcentral lists this ribosomal RNA (490 nucleotides) under uncultured bacterium. Its description in RNAcentral is "partial 16S ribosomal RNA". It matches the Rfam family "Bacterial small subunit ribosomal RNA", at positions 28 to 507 of the family's 1533-position model. The record is from RNAcentral.
GAUGAACGCUAGCUACAGGCUUAACACAUGCAAGUCGCGGGGCAGCAUGGGGGUUGCUUGCAAUCCCCGAUGGCGACCGGCGCACGGGUGAGUAACGCGUAUCCAACCUGCCCUUCACCACGGGAUAACCCGGCGAAAGUCGGACUAAUACCGUAUGUUGUCCAUUGACGGCAUCCGAUUUGGACGAAAGGUUUGGCGGUGAAGGAUGGGGAUGCGUCCGAUUAGCUGGACGGCGGGGUGACGGCCCACCGUGGCGACGAUCGGUGGGGGUUCUGAGAGGAAGGUCCCCCACACUGGAACUGAGACACGGUCCAGACUCCUACGGGAGGCAGCAGUGAGGAAUAUUGGUCAAUGGGCGUAAGCCUGAACCAGCCAAGUAGCGUGCAGGAUGACGGCCCUAUGGGUUGUAAACUGCUUUUAUGCGGGGAUAAAGUGGCCCACGUGUGGGUUUUUGCAGGUACCGCAUGAAUAAGGACCGGCUAAUUCCGUG